GGUUUAAUUCGAUGAUACGCGAGGAACCUUACCCGGGCUUAAAUUGCAGAUGAAUUACGGUGAAAGCCGUAAGCCGCAAGGCAUCUGUGAAGGUGCUGCAUGGUUGUCGUCAGCUCGUGCCGUGAGGUGUCGGCUUAAGUGCCAUAACGAGCGCAACCCUUGUUGUCAGUUACUAACAGGUUCUGCUGAGGACUCUGACAAGACUGCCAUCGUAAGAUGUGAGGAAGGUGGGAUGACGUC
This 240-nucleotide ribosomal RNA is filed under the name uncultured bacterium. Its description in RNAcentral is "partial 16S ribosomal RNA". It matches the Rfam family "Bacterial small subunit ribosomal RNA", at positions 943 to 1186 of the family's 1533-position model. The record is from RNAcentral.